GACGAACGCUGGCGGCGUGCUUAACACAUGCAAGUCGAACGGAAAGGCCCUGCUUUUGUGGGGUGCUCGAGUGGCGAACGGGUGAGUAACACGUGAGUAACCUGCCCUUGACUUUGGGAUAACUUCAGGAAACUGGGGCUAAUACCGGAUAGGAGCUCCUGCUGCAGGGUGGGGGUUGGAAAGUUUCGGCGGUUGGGGAUGGACUCGCGGCUUAUCAGCUUGUUGGUGGGGUAGUGGCUUACCAAGGCUUUGACGGGUAGCCGGCCUGAGAGGGUGACCGGCCACAUUGGGACUGAGAUACGACCCAGACUCCUACGGGAGGCAGCAGUGGGGAAUAUUGCACAAUGGGCGGAAGCCUGAUGCAGCAACGCCGCGUGCGGGAUGACGGCCUUCGGGUUGUAAACCGCUUUCGCCUGUGACGAAGCGUGAGUGACGGUAAUGGGUAAAGAAGCACCGGCUAACUACGUG
This 468-nucleotide ribosomal RNA is filed under the name uncultured bacterium. RNAcentral's name for it is "partial 16S ribosomal RNA". It matches the Rfam family "Bacterial small subunit ribosomal RNA", at positions 28 to 507 of the family's 1533-position model. The record is from RNAcentral.